CCUACGGGCGGCAGCAGCGGGGAAUAUUGCACAAUGGGCGCAAGCCUGAUGCAGCCAUGCCGCGUGUGUGAAGAAGGCCUUCGGGUUGUAAAGCACUUUCAGCGGGGAGGAAGGCGUUAAGGUUAAUAACCUUGGCGAUUGACGUUACCCGCAGAAGAAGCACCGGCUAACUCCGUGCCAGCAGCCGCGGUAAUACGGAGGGUGCAAGCGUUAAUCGGAAUUACUGGGCGUAAAGCGCACGCAGGCGGUCUGUCAAGUCGGAUGUGAAAUCCCCGGGCUCAACCUGGGAACUGCAUUCGAAACUGGCAGGCUAGAGUCUUGUAGAGGGGGGUAGAAUUCCAGGUGUAGCGGUGAAAUGCGUAGAGAUCUGGAGGAAUACCGGUGGCGAAGGCGGCCCCCUGGACAAAGACUGACGCUCAGGUGCGAAAGCGUGGGGAGCAAACAGGAUUAGAUACCCGUGUAGUC
This 465-nucleotide ribosomal RNA is filed under the name uncultured Klebsiella sp. Its description in RNAcentral is "bacterial SSU rRNA". It matches the Rfam family "Bacterial small subunit ribosomal RNA", at positions 338 to 795 of the family's 1533-position model. The record is from RNAcentral. Lineage: Bacteria; Pseudomonadati; Pseudomonadota; Gammaproteobacteria; Enterobacterales; Enterobacteriaceae.